This 1526-nucleotide long non-coding RNA is filed under the name Sus scrofa (pig). RNAcentral's name for it is "lncRNA (ENSSSCG00035051444.1)". Lineage: Eukaryota; Metazoa; Chordata; Mammalia; Artiodactyla; Suidae. The record is from RNAcentral.
UUUUUUUUUUUAACAUCAUUCAAGUAAGUAUACUCACUGCAGUUUUCCCGGUGUGUGUUCCUUUUUGACAGGGGUAGAAAUCUGUGGUUGUGGUGAGGGGGGAGGAGGCACUGAUGGUUUUGAAACUGGUGACGGAGGACCUACGUCUUUGGGAAUUUCAACAUGUUUCCAAUCUUCUUCUUCUUCAACUAGCAACCCAAUGAGGGAACCUAGCCGUAUAUUUUUAGAUCCUUCGGCAACCUAUAUUUUAAAGAGAAAACCAUUGUAGAGAUGGAAAGGCUCAUGACUUCAUCAAGUAGUUUAAUCCUUGGAUAAUCCUGUACCGGUCAGCAAGCAAUCUCGCUUCACAUGAGCUAAAAUCUACCUCCACGCCAGGCUGCCUCCUUCCACUCACGGCAUUCCUCAUCCUCCUUCCCUCACUUACACCUGCCUUCACCACUGUCCUCCGUUCCAGUGACCGACACUGCCUCCUGAAAUUUAAAACGAAUGAACAAAAUUCUAUAAUUUCUCCUUUUUCUGAAAAAAAAAAAAACCCAUCCCACCAUAUAGACAGAAUUGGUUACGUUUCACAUUUUUCUAUAUUUUCAUUUUUCCCUAUAUGUAUAUUUGCAAAACCUAAGAAAUAAAAUAAAACCUUGUGAAUUUUCUCUAAGUACAUGAGAAACAUGGCAGUGUCUCAGCUAACAAUUUUCAUAGAUAACUCCAAUUAAAAGCAUAAAUAAGAUCAAAGGUGAUUUUUUAAAACUCAAAUACAUUUUAAGCAUUUCAGGAACAUUAAUUUAUAAAGAAAGGGUUGAUUCUUAUUUACUCAUUAAAAGAAGUCUCUAGAGAAUCUUCCGAUGAUAAGUUCACUACUGGAAGAAAUGUCAUUCCUUUAAAAUUUUCUAUUAUUUUCUUCCAAUUACUUUAAAUAAGGUUCAUUAGAGAUGUAAUUUAAUGAAUAAUAGAAUGACAACAGCAGCAGGACAUUCACUAAUAUAGUAAUUAUAAGUAAAAGCAUAACUCCUAGAAUGGGUUUGACAUUUCUAAGUUAAUACUAAAUUUUGAGGCUUAUUAGUAUGUGCCCUAUUCUUGAAAUAAUAAGGCAAAAGUUCUGAGAGUUAGGAAGUUAAGUGUUCUACCUACUGAUGGAGAAGAACAGGAAUACUCUGGUAAAGCAGUGUAAGAAAUGGGAAUACAAAACUGAAUAAGGAUGUUCAAUGAAUUCCAACUGAGAAAAAUGUCAAAUAACCCAAGAACAUUUUACAUUUUUCUUUACUAUUUCAAAAAAGAUGAGUUACAAUUAUUAAUAGGUUAAUAUUCUUUCCUUGUUCUAAAAAUGUCUGAUUACCUGCUUAUGAACUAACUAAAAAAUCACAAAGUAAAAUGACCAAUUUUCUUGAAAAAUUGAUAGAAAAAAGCAUUAAGUGAUAUGAGGUCCACUUGAUGUUAAUUCCUAUCAAACUGAAGCAGAAAUAGGAUCAAUAUCCAAAUUCAAAGAAAAUCACUCAAAUAAAAAGCAUUCUUAAAAAAGGGAAAGUUGUAUU